AGAAUGAACGUUGGCGGCGUGGAUUAGGCAUGCAAGUCGGACGGGCCGCAAGGCCAGUGGCGUAAGGGUGAGUAAGGCGACGGCAAUCAUCCCCACGGUUGGGUAUAGCCGCGAGAAAUCGCGGGUAAUCCCCAGCGACGCAAGGUGUACGGCAAUCGACGCCUUGCCAAAGGCUCGCCGCCGUGGGACAGCCGUCGUGGUAUUAGGUAGUUGGCGGGUAACGGCCACAAGCCCGCGAUCGCCUACCGGGUGUGCGAGCAUGGCCCGGCACACUGGGACUGAGACACUGCCCAGACCUCCGUACGGGAGGCUGCAGGUCGAGAAUCUUACGGCAAGUGGGACGCAAGCCUGACCGAGCGACGCCGCGGUGGAGGACGAAGGUCCUUACGGGUUGUAAACCGUCCGUAGGUUCCGGAAGGGGGUAACGGAA
Molecule: ribosomal RNA, 430 nt
Filed under: uncultured soil bacterium
Lineage: Bacteria
Description: bacterial SSU rRNA
Rfam family: Bacterial small subunit ribosomal RNA
Source: RNAcentral